UUUGUUUCAACCUUUAUUAGAGAGAAAACUUCCAUCCUUUCAGAAAGGAGAACAUUCACAGAAGGUUUAAGAAAUGAAAGCAGAUGAACUUCACUGUGUCCAAAAGAUUACUCACUUUUGCAUGUUUUCUUAUCCGGAUUAAGUCUAAAACCUUCUUGGCAUCGACAGAAAUAGGAAUCAUCUGUAUUAACACAUUCCUGUUCACAGCCAUGGUCCUGAAGAGCACAGUAGUCUGGUCUUCUGCAAGUUCUUUUGUCUGCAUUUAAAAUGAACCCUGGGUGGCAUCUACAGUAAUAAGAGUCCUCUGUGUUAACACAUUCAUGUUGGCAACCUUGAUUAUCCACAGCACAGUAGUCCACAACAACACAAUUCUUCCCAUCCGCAUCAAGCUCAUACCCUUC
RNAcentral lists this long non-coding RNA (401 nucleotides) under Gallus gallus (chicken). Lineage: Eukaryota; Metazoa; Chordata; Aves; Galliformes; Phasianidae. The record is from RNAcentral.